CCUACGGGAGGCAGCAGUGGGGAAUAUUGCGCAAUGGGCGAAAGCCUGACGCAGCGACGCCGCGUGAGGAAUGAAGGUCUUCGGAUCGUAAACCUCUGUCAGCAGGGAAGAACGGUCACUGUGCUAAUCAGCAGUGAAUUGACGGUACCUGCAAAGGAAGCACCGGCUAACUCCGUGCCAGCAGCCGCGGUAAUACGGAGGGUGCGAGCGUUAAUCGGAAUUACUGGGCGUAAAGCGCUCGUAGGCGGUAUGUCAAGUCAAGGGUGAAAUCCCCGCGCUCAACGUGGGAACUGCCUUGGAAACUGGCAAACUGGAGUGUGUGAGAGGAUAGUGGAAUUCCAGGUGUAGGAGUGAAAGCCGUAGAUAUCUGGAGGAACAUCAGUGGCGAAGGCGACUAUCUGGCACAUAACUGACGCUGAGGAGCGAAAGCGUGGGUAGCAAACAGGAUUAGAUACCCCGGUAGUC
Molecule: ribosomal RNA, 465 nt
Filed under: uncultured bacterium
Lineage: Bacteria
Description: partial 16S ribosomal RNA
Rfam family: Bacterial small subunit ribosomal RNA
Source: RNAcentral